CCUACGGGAGGCAGCAGUGGGGAAUCUUGCGCAAUGGGCGAAAGCCUGACGCAGCAACGCCGCGUGCGGGAUGAAGGCCUUCGUGGUUGUAAACCGCUUUCAGCAGGGACGAAAAUGACGGUACCUGCAGAAGAAGCCCCGGCUAACUACGUGCCAGCAGCCGCGGUAAUACGUAGGGGGCAAGCGUUGUCCGGAAUCAUUGGGCGUAAAGAGCUCGUAGGCGGUUCAGUAAGUCAGGUGUGAAAGCUCCGAGCUCAACUCGGAGAGGCCACCUGAUACUGCUGUGACUAGAAUCCAGUAGGGGAGUGUGGAACUCCUGGUGUAGCGGUGAAAUGCGCAGAUAUCAGGAAGAACACCAGCGGCGAAGGCGGCACUCUGGGCUGGAAUUGACGCUGAGGAGCGAAAGUGUGGGUAGCAAACAGGAUUAGAUACCCUGGUAGUCCACACCGUAAACGUUGGGCACUAGGUGUGGGGAGGAUCAACCCUUUCCGUGCCGUAGCUAACGCAUUAAGUGCCCCGCCUGGGGAGUACGGCCGCAAGGCUAAAACUCAAAGGAAUUGACGG
Molecule: ribosomal RNA, 564 nt
Filed under: uncultured bacterium
Lineage: Bacteria
Description: bacterial SSU rRNA
Rfam family: Bacterial small subunit ribosomal RNA
Source: RNAcentral